GACGAACGCUGGCGGCGUGCCUAAUACAUGCAAGUUGAGCGCGGACGGUUGGUACUUGUCCCCACUGGAUGAGCAGCGGACGGGUGAGUAACGCGUGGGGAAUCUGCCUUUGAGCGGGGGACAACAUUUGGAAACGAAUGCUAAUACCGCAUAAAACCUUUAAACACAAGUUUUAAGUUUGAAAGUUGCAAUUGCGUCACUCAAAGAUGAUCCCGCGUUGUAUUAGCUAGUUGGUGAGGUAAAGGCUCACCAAGGCGAGGAUACAUAGCACACCUGAGAGGGGGAUCGGCCAAAGUGGGACGGAGACACGGCCCAAAACACUAGGGGAGGGAGCAGUAGGGGAUCUUAGGGAAAGGAAGAAAGGCGGAACGAGCAACGACGCGCGAGAGAAGAAGGUUUUCGGGUCGUAAAACUCUGUUGGUAGAGAAGAAUGUUGGGGAGAGUUGAAAGCGAAGCAAGUGACGGUAACUACACAGAAAGGGACGGCUAACUACGUG
This 497-nucleotide ribosomal RNA is filed under the name uncultured bacterium. RNAcentral's name for it is "partial 16S ribosomal RNA". It matches the Rfam family "Bacterial small subunit ribosomal RNA", at positions 28 to 507 of the family's 1533-position model. The record is from RNAcentral.